GACGAACGCUGGCGGCGUGCCUAACACAUGCAAGUCAACUUGACUGAAGGAGCAAUCUGACAGUAGAGUGGCGCAAGGGUGCGUAACGCGUAAGUAACUUGCCCAAGGUAAGGAAUAACGUCGAGAAAUCGGCGCUAAUACCUCAUAAUGCAGCGGAUCCGCAUGGAUAUGUUGUUAAAGGUUACCGCCUUGGGAUAGGCUUGCGUCUGAUUAGUUAGUUGGUGUGGUAACGGCACACCAAGGCUACGAUCAGUAACUGGUCUGAGAGGAUGAUCAGUCACACUGGAACUGAGACACGGUCCAGACUCCUACGGGAGGCAGCAGUGAGGAAUAUUGGGCAAUGCUCGAAAGAGUGACCCAGCAACGCCGCGUGGAGGAGUGAAGGUAUUCUAUAUCGUAAACUCCUGUGAGAGCAGACG
This 419-nucleotide ribosomal RNA is filed under the name uncultured bacterium. RNAcentral describes it as "bacterial SSU rRNA". It matches the Rfam family "Bacterial small subunit ribosomal RNA", at positions 28 to 447 of the family's 1533-position model. The record is from RNAcentral.